This 274-nucleotide ribosomal RNA is filed under the name uncultured bacterium. RNAcentral describes it as "partial 16S ribosomal RNA". It matches the Rfam family "Archaeal small subunit ribosomal RNA", at positions 473 to 747 of the family's 1478-position model. The record is from RNAcentral.
AAACCAGCACCUCAAGUGGUCAGGAGGAUUAUUGGGCCUAAAGCAUCCGUAGCCUGUUCUAUAAGUUUCCGGUUAAAUCCACUAGCUCAACUAGUGGGCUGCCGAAAAUACUGUAGAACUAGGGAGUGGGAGAGGUAGACGGUAUUCGGUAGGAAGGGGUAAAAUCCUUUGAUCUAUUGAGGACCACCUGUGGCGAAGGCGGUCUACCAGAACACGUUCGACGGUGAGGGAUGAAAGCUGGGGGAGCAAACCGAAUUAGAAACCCGGGUAGUCC